Molecule: non-coding RNA, 467 nt
Organism: Aegilops tauschii subsp. strangulata
Lineage: Eukaryota; Viridiplantae; Streptophyta; Magnoliopsida; Poales; Poaceae
Source: RefSeq, a predicted model, not a curated record
GGUAGGGCAAGGAGUCCCUGCUGUUCCGGUGAUUAACUAUGUGCGCACCGAGAUCAAGAAAGCAGCUGAUGAGAGCCAGUCUAUUCUCGAGAACACACCGGUUGGAAAAGGCAAUGAUGAUGGUUCACUACGAGCAUUCCUCAAGCGUCAGGCCAAGAAGUUAAGGCGGUUAUCGAAUCUUCUCGGUUGCCGUGAUCCCGAAUUUGAUGAACCAUCUGCCUCUAGGUCUGGUACACCAUCAGACCCCUCAUCUCACCAUCAGGGGGACGAUGUGAGUUCCUCAUAUGCUUAUCUGGAUGAUAAUGGCGUGGUCACCCAAGAGGUAUGACUAAUCCUUUAGAUGUGAUUCUCACUUGAUUACGACGCCGGUCUUCACCAUAUUGUUUGAUUGUGUGAUAGGGCCAUGAGCUUGAUGAUGACAUGACUUUGGCGGACGCUCAACUUCGGUCCCCAUAUGUGUUCAAGCC